RNAcentral lists this long non-coding RNA (739 nucleotides) under Vigna radiata. RNAcentral's name for it is "long non-coding RNA (VRAD_LNC009870)". The record is from RNAcentral. Lineage: Eukaryota; Viridiplantae; Streptophyta; Magnoliopsida; Fabales; Fabaceae.
AGAACGACCAGACCUAUUUUUGCUCUCUAGAGAGGAUCUCUUGGAUGCUUAGGCUCCUUUUCAUCUUUUCUAGGGUUUGCUCUUCCAUUCUUCUUCCAUUUUUCAUCUAGUUUCACCAUGUCUAUGGUGAACUAAACCCUAUUGUUGUUGGGGAAAACAAUGUAAUCUUUUGAUACUCUCUCUUAUUGAAACUAUUGAAUAUUUAUAUGGUCUCCAUAUGUUCGAUUGAUUAUUGUUGGGUUAUCAUUUGUGCUUAUGGCCUUUAUCGUUUAACUCAUUCGGUAUAUUGAUGUUUGUCGUUAUUGAUAUGGGGACGUACAGUAAUGACAUGAACUGGUGAGUAAUCUCUUGAUUUUGCAAUACCACCUAGGGAUAGGGGUAGGACGAUCAAUUGCGCUAAUUUCUGUUUAUAAUGUAGUAUUAAUUACUAGGGGAGGCUAGGGAUAGCAAGCCAGUAGUUAAUAUUAGGCCCUUUUCGCCGAGGGAUCGGGUUAAGGGGAGGCUAAGAAAGUCGCAUAACAAUUGAAUCAAUCUAAUAUUCAAGGCUAAUAUUCAAGGGUAGUAUGUAAGAGAGAGCGGAAUAGAUGAAAUUGUUAGUACCCAACAACAUUCAUUCCUCCAUUGUUUUCGUUUGUCAAUUGAAUGAACUUUAUCUUUGCAUGUUAAUAUAUUUUGUCUCAAAACCAAUUUAUUAAUUUUUAUUUUUCAAGUCUUAUUAUUUUAAUUCAUGCGAACGAGA